UGAACUCAUGCACUGGAUUUGGUCCAAGUACAUUUUGUUUCUUGAUUUCCAGCCAGGCUUCUCUCAGUUGUGAUGCAUUCUCUUCUUUGCUUCCCUCCUUCCCCAGUCCUGUUCUCUCUUUUUAUAAUGCUUUCAACUUUUCCAUGUGACUGAACCAACACAGAGGAAAACCCACCAGCUUAGGUAGGGCUUCCACAAGAGUGGGGCCAGAGGGACUUCUUUGUGAACGGCCAGCCCCUCACGCAGCCCCGGCCUGCACGGCGAGGUUUGUCUGAGGCAGCUGAAGCAGAAAGCAUUUGAACUCUGCCCUCUACCAAAUGAUUUCCAGAUGUGUAAACCCCAGCCUCCCGCUGCACUCUGACUGUAGCCCUGCCAACGUACAUCUGCAGAUUCCUAGUGCACAGGAAACUUGAAAGAGUAUCUUUACAACAUCUGCUGUCUUUUCCCAGCUCUCCCUCUCUGCCUUCUCGGACUUUGCCCCGUAUUUUAUAUCCUCUCUUCAACAAAUCCAUUAGAGAACUGCUGCACAGCCCUUCUUGGCUCACAGAUGCCAGCUGUCUGUUUCACCCCAGAGCCUGUUCUUGGCUCUCUCAAGCACCACUAGAAUCAUUGACCGAAGCACCACUAGAAUCAUUAAAGAAGCUUAUUGGGCUCAUGGAGGGGAAAAAAAGGACCAAGUUUUCUCCAUUGGAUUGGUGCCAGUCUACAAGCUGCAAAGGGAGAUUUAGCCAUAAGGAGGUCAGAGCAGAGCCCUAAAGAUGGAAACACGAGUUUGCAUGGAGAGUUUGCCUGCUAUACCUGAGAGAAGGUUUCUCCUGUCUACUUAUGUAUGAAUGACAUCAAACCAAUGAAGCCACUGUGAGAAAUCUGCCACUGAUACAUAAUUAUUUACUUAUAUUACCCAUAAGGAGAACAUUAUCUGUUUCUUAUCCAUUUAAUUAAGAAGAAAGACUACAGAAGAUAUUUGUUUAUUUCUCCUUUACAAAAUGUUUUCUAUCUGGCCAUGGCUAUAAGACAAAUA
This 1021-nucleotide long non-coding RNA is filed under the name Homo sapiens (human). RNAcentral's name for it is "HSALNT0088915". The record is from RNAcentral. Lineage: Eukaryota; Metazoa; Chordata; Mammalia; Primates; Hominidae.